AGAGCCAGAUGCUGCAUAUAUGGGUGAA
RNAcentral lists this non-coding RNA (28 nucleotides) under Homo sapiens (human). Lineage: Eukaryota; Metazoa; Chordata; Mammalia; Primates; Hominidae. The record is from RNAcentral.